GACGAACGCUGGCGGCGUGCUUAACACAUGCAAGUCGAACGGAAAGGCCCUGCUUUUGUGGGGUGCUCGAGUGGCGAACGGGUGAGUAACACGUGAGUAACCUGCCCUUGACUUUGGGAUAACUUCAGGAAACUGGGGCUAAUACCGGAUAGGAGCUCCUGCUGCAUGGUGGGGGUUGGAAAGUUUCGGCGGUUGGGGAUGGACUCGCGGCUUAUCAGCUUGCUGGUGGGGUAGUGGCUUACCAAGGCUUUGACGGGUAGCCGGCCUGAGAGGGUGACCGGCCACAUUGGGAGUGAGAUACGGCCCAGUCUGCUACGGGGGGCAGCAGUGGGGAAUAUUGAGCAAUGGGCGGGGGCCUGAUGCAACAGCGCCGCGUGCGGGAUGACGGCCUUCGGGUUAAGAACCGCUUUCGCCUGUGACGAAGCGUGAGUGACGGUAAUGGGUAAAGAAGCACCGGCUAACUACGUG
This 468-nucleotide ribosomal RNA is filed under the name uncultured bacterium. RNAcentral's name for it is "partial 16S ribosomal RNA". It matches the Rfam family "Bacterial small subunit ribosomal RNA", at positions 28 to 507 of the family's 1533-position model. The record is from RNAcentral.